Molecule: non-coding RNA, 239 nt
Organism: Biomphalaria pfeifferi
Lineage: Eukaryota; Metazoa; Mollusca; Gastropoda; Planorbidae
Source: the annotation of a GenBank genome assembly
CUUAGGUGAAAAAUAUUUUGAUUCUACAAUAUUCAGUAAUGUAGAACUUAAAAAAAAAACAACUACCUAUGCUCCGUAUCAAGCUGAUGUACCUUGACUAGAGCAAGACUAACAAGUCUUUUAAAAUUAUUUUGUUACUUUCCUGCAAUAAUGUAGGUUCAUCAUCUGCUUCUGAAGGAGGAUACCCAAUUAUCUUUCGAUACCCAAUUAUCUUUCAAUACUCAGUUAAUUUCCACAGG